AACAAAGUCUCUCAGCGCACAUCUCAGGCAGCUGUGACGUCACCCGCACGCGUCAUAACAAACGGAGCUCUGAGUUUCUCGCGGCGUCCCAAAUAACAAGUACUAUUUGCUGUGUUGUGCUUCGGAUCGAGUGAACGUUGUCGUUUUCGACUGUGCCAAAUAAGCACUGAUCAGAAUUCCACGGAGGUGUUGCAUUCCAAAUUGCAGAGGCAAUUACGGCAAUGGGCCUAAAGUUUCCGUGUUUUAUUUUCCGUCUGAUGAAUCUCUAAGGCGGGAAUGGAUCUCGGCUGUUCACAAGCAAGACUGGGUGCCUAGUAAACAUUCAGUUGUUUGUGAGCAGCAUUUCAACUAACAAGAUACAUUAAGCAGUACAAGUAUGUACGACCCAAGAACUGGCAAACUGUUAACAGUACCAUUUGAUCGUCGACGCUUAAGAAAAGGUUCUAUACCUACAAAGUUACCGGAUGCCCUUGAUAUUUGUCCAAUAUGCCAUCAUCCCGAGAGGACCCCGAAAGUCGCAGGGAGCUACUAGAAAACUGCCCUUCGAGAAAGUGUAGAAACGCAAGAGAAGUUGAUAGAAACGAUUUCUAUCUGUAAUGUCGAGUAGCUGAAACGCAAAAUAAGUGACUGUGAUAAGCAUUGGGACGGGAUUGUAGUUAACAAAUUAGACAGUGAGUGCUUAUUGUUAAUCAACCACAAUCCUAACCCAAGAGUUGUCUGCUAAUGUGUUAUAAACAGUGAUUUAUCUCUAAGUGUUUUUAUUAACGAUGUGGAAUUGAAAUGUGUUGGGAAGAUGAAAUUUUCCAAAACAGUCUGCAACACACGAGAUGUGAGUGAAAAUUUAUUUGGUGUAGCCUAUAAUAAAUAUGAGGUUCCUGUUGA
Long non-coding RNA from Schistocerca piceifrons (Central American locust), 882 nucleotides. RefSeq lists it as uncharacterized. The record is from RefSeq and is a predicted model, not a curated record. Lineage: Eukaryota; Metazoa; Arthropoda; Insecta; Orthoptera; Acrididae. The transcript has 3 exons.